RNAcentral lists this ribosomal RNA (252 nucleotides) under uncultured Bacteroidales bacterium. RNAcentral's name for it is "partial 16S ribosomal RNA". It matches the Rfam family "Bacterial small subunit ribosomal RNA", at positions 524 to 776 of the family's 1533-position model. The record is from RNAcentral. Lineage: Bacteria; Pseudomonadati; Bacteroidota; Bacteroidia; Bacteroidales.
UACGGAGGAUGCGAGCGUUAUCCGGAUUUAUUGGGUUUAAAGGGUGCGUAGGCGGGCUGUUAAGUCAGCGGUAAAAGCCCGGGGCUCAACCCCGGCCUGCCGUCGGAACUGGGUGCCUUGAGUGGGCGAGAAGUAUGCGGAAUGCGUGGUGUAGCGGUGAAAUGCAUAGAUAUCACGCAGAACGCCGAUUGCGAAGGCAGCUUACCGGCGCUCAACUGACGCUGAGGCACGAAAGCGUGGGUAUCGAACAGG